GACGAACGCUGGCGGCGUGCUUAACACAUGCAAGUCGAACGGUAAGGCCCUUCGGGGUACACGAGUGGCGAACGGGUGAGUAACACGUGGGUGAUCUGCCCUGCACUUCGGGAUAAGCCUGGGAAACUGGGUCUAAUACCGGAUAGGACCACUGCCUGCAUGGGUGGUGGUGGAAAGCUUUUGCGGUGUGGGAUGGGCCCGCGGCCUAUCAGCUUGUUGGUGGGGUGAUGGCCUACCAAGGCGACGACGGGUAGCCGGCCUGAGAGGGUGACCGGCCACACUGGGACUGAGAUACGGCCCAGACUCCUACGGGAGGCAGCAGUGGGGAAUAUUGCACAAUGGGCGCAAGCCCGAUGCAGCGACGCCGCGUAAGGGAUGACGGCCUUCGGGUUGUAAACCUCUUUCAGCACCGACGAAGCGCAAGUGACGGUAGGUGCAGAAGAAGGACCGGCCAACUACGUGCCAGCCGCCGCGGUAA
This 478-nucleotide ribosomal RNA is filed under the name uncultured bacterium. RNAcentral's name for it is "partial 16S ribosomal RNA". It matches the Rfam family "Bacterial small subunit ribosomal RNA", at positions 28 to 523 of the family's 1533-position model. The record is from RNAcentral.